Molecule: non-coding RNA, 45 nt
Filed under: Schistosoma mansoni
Lineage: Eukaryota; Metazoa; Platyhelminthes; Trematoda; Strigeidida; Schistosomatidae
Source: RNAcentral
GUCCAGCUGAUGAGCCCCAAAUAGGACGAAACGCGCAUCCUGGAU